RNAcentral lists this ribosomal RNA (497 nucleotides) under uncultured bacterium. RNAcentral describes it as "partial 16S ribosomal RNA". It matches the Rfam family "Bacterial small subunit ribosomal RNA", at positions 28 to 507 of the family's 1533-position model. The record is from RNAcentral.
GACGAACGCUGGCGGCGUGCCUAAUACAUGCAAGUUGAGCGCUGAAGGUUGGUACUUGUACCAACUGGAUGAGCAGCAAACGGGUGAGUAACGCGUGGGGAAUCUGCCUUUGAGCGGGGGACAACAUUUGGAAACGAAUGCUAAUACCGCAUAAAAACUUUAAACACAAGUUUUAAGUUUGAAAGAUGCAAUUGCAUCACUCAAAGAUGAUCCCGCGUUGUAUUAGCUAGUUGGUGAGGUAAAGGCUCACCAAGGCGAUGAUACAUAGCCGACCUGAGAGGGGGAUCGGCCACAUUGGGACUGAGACACGGCCCAAACUCCUACGGGAGGCAGCAGUAGGGAAUCUUCGGCAAUGGACGAAAGUCUGACCGAGCAACGCCGCGUGAGUGAAGAAGGUUGUCGGAUCGUAAAACUCUGUUGGUAGAGAAGAACGUUGGUGAGAGUGGAAAGCUCAUCAAGUGACGGUAACUACCCAGAAAGGGACGGCUAACUACGUG